This 468-nucleotide ribosomal RNA is filed under the name uncultured bacterium. RNAcentral describes it as "partial 16S ribosomal RNA". It matches the Rfam family "Bacterial small subunit ribosomal RNA", at positions 28 to 507 of the family's 1533-position model. The record is from RNAcentral.
GACGAACGCUGGCGGCGUGCUUAACACAUGCAAGUCGAACGGAAAGGCCCUGCUUUUGUGGGGUGCUCGAGUGGCGAACGGGUGAGUAACACGUGAGUAACCUGCCCUUGACUUUGGGAUAACUUCAGGAAACUGGGGCUAAUACCGGAUAGGAGCUCCUGCUGCAUGGUGGGGGUUGGAAAGUUUCGGCGGUUGGGGAUGGACUCGCGGCUUAUCAGCUUGUUGGUGGGGUAGUGGCUUACCAAGGCUUUGACGGGUAGCCGGCCUGAGAGGGUGACCGGCGAAAUUGGGACGGAGAUACGGCCAAGACUGCUACGGGAGGAAGCGGUGGGGAAUGUUGGAGAAUGGGCUGAAGGCGUAGGCAGCCACGCCGCGUGGGGGGUGACGGCCUUCGGGUUGUAAACCGAUAUAGCCUGUGACGAAGUGUGAGUGACGGUACUGGGUAAAGAAGCAGAGGCUAACUCGGUC